RNAcentral lists this ribosomal RNA (478 nucleotides) under uncultured bacterium. Its description in RNAcentral is "partial 16S ribosomal RNA". It matches the Rfam family "Bacterial small subunit ribosomal RNA", at positions 28 to 523 of the family's 1533-position model. The record is from RNAcentral.
GACGAACGCUGGCGGCGUACUUAACACAUGCAAGUCGAACGGUAAGGCCCUUCGGGGUACACGAGUGGCGAACGGGUGAGUAACACGUGGGUGAUCUGCCCUGCACUUCGGGAUAAGCCUGGGAAACUGGGUCUAAUACCGGAUAGGACUCCUGGCUUCAUGGUUGGGGGUGGAAAGCUUUUGCGGUGUGGGAUGGGCCCGCGGCCUAUCAGCUUGUUGGUGGGGUAAUGGCCUACCAAGGCGACGACGGGUAGCCGGCCUGAGAGGGUGACAGGGCACACUGGGACUGAGAUACGGCCCAGACGCGUACGGGAGGCAGCAGUGGGGAAUAUUGCACAAUGGGCGAAAGCCUGAUGCAGCGACGCCGCGUGAGGGAUGACGGCCUUCGGGUUGUAAACCUCUUUCAGCUAUGACGAAGCGCAAGUGACGGGAGUAGCAGAAGAAGGACCGGCCAACUACAUGCCAGCCGCCGCCGUAA